RNAcentral lists this ribosomal RNA (1350 nucleotides) under uncultured bacterium. RNAcentral describes it as "bacterial SSU rRNA". It matches the Rfam family "Bacterial small subunit ribosomal RNA", at positions 28 to 1394 of the family's 1533-position model. The record is from RNAcentral.
AACGAACGCUGGCGGCAGGCUUAACACAUGCAAGUCGCAGGAGAAGGGGGCUUCGGCUCCCGGACACUGGCGGACGGGUGAGUAACGCGUGGGGACCUACCCUGGGGUGGGGGACAACCACUGGAAACGGUGGCUAAUACCGCAUACGCCCUAAGGGGGAAAACUCCGGUGCCCUGGGAUGGCCCCGCGUCCCAUUAGCUAGUUGGCGGGGUAACGGCCCACCAAGGCGACGAUGGGUAGCCGGCCUGAGAGGGUGUCCGGCCACAUUGGGACUGAGAUACGGCCCAGACUCCUACGGGAGGCAGCAGUAGGGAAUUUUGCGCAAUGGGGGAAACCCUGACGCAGCAACGCCAUGUGUGGGAUGAAGCAUUUCGGUGUGUAAACCACUGUCGGCAGGGAAUAAAGCCCGCGCAUGCGCGGGGGUGAAUGUACCUGCAGAGGAAGCCCCGGCUAACUUCGUGCCAGCAGCCGCGGUAAUACGAGGGGGGCAAGUGUUGUUCGGAAUCACUGGGCGUAAAGGGAGCGUAGGCGGACGUUUAAGUCGGGAGUUUAAAACCGGGGCCCAACCCCGGGGCGGCUCCCGAAACUGGGCGUCUUGAAUGGGACAGAGGCUGGUGGAAUUGGGGGUGUAGCGGUGGAAUGCGUAGAGAUCCCCAAGAACACCGAUUGCGAAGGCAGCCAGCUGGGUCCACAUUGACGCUGAGGCUCGAAAGCAUGGGGAGCAAACAGGAUAGAUACCUUGGUAGUCCAUGCUGUAAAGGAUGAACACUAGGUUUUGGGCUCGUCAACGGCCCGGAGCCGCAGCUAACGCGUUAAGUGUUCCGCCUGGGGAAUACGGUCGCAAGACUGAAACUCAAAGGAAUUGACGGGGGCCCGCACAAGCGGUGGAGCAUGUGGUUUAAUUCGACGCAACGCGCAGAACCUUACCAGGGCUUGACAUGGGAAGGACCGGACGAGAGAUCGUCCUUCUCCCGCAAGGGAGCCUUCCACACAGGUGCUGCAUGGCUGUCGUCAGCUCGUGUCGUGAGAUGUUGGGUUAAGUCCCGCAACGAGCGCAACCCUCGUUUUUAGUUGCCAUCAGGUCAAGCUGGGCACUCUAAAGAGACUGCCGCGAAUAACGCGGAGGAAGGUGGGGACGACGUCAAGUCAUCAUGGCCCUUACGUCCUGGGCUACACACGUGCUACAAUGGGCGUCACAGAGGGUCGCAAGAGCGCAAGCUGGAGCCAAUCCCCAAAAACGCCCUCAGUUCAGAUCGAGGUCUGCAACCCGACCUCGUGAAGGUGGAAUCGCUAGUAAUCGCGGAUCAGAACGCCGCGGUGAAUACGUUCCCGGGCCUUGUACUCACCGCC